CUACGGGAGGCACCAGUGGGGAAUAUUGCACAAUGGGCGCAAGCCUGAUGCAGCAACGCCGCGUGAACGAAGAAGGUCUUCGGAUCGUAAAGUUCUUUUCUUAGGGAAGAAAAAUGACGGUACCUAAGGAAUAAGCACCGGCUAAAUACGUGCCAGCAGCCGCGGUAAUACGUAUGGUGCAAGCGUUAUCCGGAAUCACUGGGCGUAAAGGGAGCGUAGGCGGUUUUGCAAGUCAGAAGUGAAAGGCUACGGCUCAACCGUGGUAAGCUUUUGAAACUGCAAGACUAGAGUGCAGGAGAGGCAAGUGGAAUUCCUAGUGUAGAGGUGAAAUUCGUAGAUAUUAGGAGGAACACCAGUGGCGAAGGCGACUUGCUGGACUGUAACUGACGCUGAGGCUCGAAAGCGUGGGGAGCGAACAGGAUUAGAUACCCGAGUAGUC
RNAcentral lists this ribosomal RNA (439 nucleotides) under uncultured bacterium. RNAcentral's name for it is "partial 16S ribosomal RNA". It matches the Rfam family "Bacterial small subunit ribosomal RNA", at positions 339 to 795 of the family's 1533-position model. The record is from RNAcentral.